UGGGGAAUUUUGGACAAUGGGGGAAACCCUGACUCAGCAAUCCCGCGUGAGCGAUGAAGGCCUUCGGGUGGUAAAGCACUUUUGGCAGGAAAGAAACGUCAUGGGUUAAUACCCCGUGAAACUGACGGUACCUGCAGAAUAAGCAACGGCUAACUACGUGCCAGCAGCCGCGGUAAUACGUAGGGUGCAAGCGUUAAUCGGAAUUACUGGGCGUAAAGCGUGCGCAGGCGGUUCGGAAAGUAAGAUGUGAAAUCCCAGAGCUCAACCUUGGAACUGCAUUUUUAACUACCGGGCUAGAGUGUGUCAGAGGGGGGUGGAAUUCCGCGUGUAGCAGUGAAAUGCGUAGAUAUGCGGAGGAACACCGGUGGCGAAGGCCGCCUCCUGGUAUAACUCUGCCGCUCAUGCACGAAAGCGUGGGGAGCAAACAGG
This 429-nucleotide ribosomal RNA is filed under the name Acidobacteriota bacterium. Its description in RNAcentral is "Acidobacteria bacterium partial 16S ribosomal RNA". It matches the Rfam family "Bacterial small subunit ribosomal RNA", at positions 355 to 776 of the family's 1533-position model. The record is from RNAcentral. Lineage: Bacteria; Pseudomonadati; Acidobacteriota.